GGGGAGGGAGAUUCAGGCAGAGGGAAGCUUGCCCUGGCUACCAGGAGGAACUCAGGACUCAGCCUGGAGGGGAAGGAGUUGCAGCUGAGCUAGCCAUGGGCAUGGGGAAGUUGCAGAGCAAAAGGGCUUAAGUGUAGUCCUGGCCCCUGGAAAAGUGGCAAGAAAGGGCGAUUACACAUUCCUACCUUCUGGCUCUCAGACCUCAGCCUCAUCCAGGGGCCUGACAGAGAAAAAUCCACCUCUGAUGGAAUCAUUAAGUUAACCAUCCAUUUGUACCAUUUCUUUGUAUAGGCUUUCAAAUGAGAGAGAGGGAGAGAAUACAGAGCCAGUACUUUCCCCUUGGUGCAACCCCAUGCCUACUCCCUAUCAGAGGCACAUCAGCCAAAUUGGUUUCCCAGGCCCCAGAGGCUGCUAACCUUGCUGAAGAGGAUUUUUUUUUUUUAAAUUUCUAUUUGUAAGGAGUAUUAAAAGAUAGUGAUUACCUGUACUAGCUACUCAUUCCUCCUCCCUCCCCCAUUCUGUACCAGCCAACUGACUAGUGAUCUCAGCCAGCAGGCUUGGGAGCCUAGGCUUUCCAUCUGUUGAGGUUUUUCAUUAGGGAGGAUGUGUGUGGGUGGGUGUAAGUUUGAAUAACAAAGAGGAAACCCAACAUUCUAAUAAGUGUUUCUCUGCUUGACCUGGGGAAGCCAGAAGCUUGUUUGUCCCAUUUCAAGGGAGAGUCACCGGCCUGUUUUGACAUUAUCUUCAGAAUAGUUGAAACUUCCUCCUGAAGUCAAGAAUUGGUUAAUCCCAGUUACAGAUCCAGGAAGGUCCUCUUCAUGUGGCAAUUCUUGGCAUUACUCUGGUCCUUCUUUCAGAAACUGUAAGAAUAGGAUGAACAGAAAUUUGUAUUAAAUAAAAACAAAAAGAGAUGCACAAGGCACCAGUCCCCACUGGCCGAUAGCCUGAUUACUUCAGGGCACUGCAACUUCCUAGAGAGGGUUUAGCUGAGGUCUGGGUGAGCAGACCCAUCUCUAGACACUUUGGGAACGGGGAGCUGAGACUGAGUAACCCGCCAAAUACUCUCCACCUCUGAGCACUGGCUCACCUAGAUCUCUCUUGCGGAAGGCCUGGAUGGAGAGAAAAAAGAGGGUAGAUGGAGCAUCCGCACUUACUGUAUUGCUGGUUCUGGUGGUGGAGAGGAUCAUCAUAGAGGAUGAAAUCUUAGUUAUCACUGUUCUCUCAUCUUCUCCUCUAGCUACAAAUGCCCUUAUGGGGGGGGAGGGAGGACCUAAAGUUGGUGCCAAAUGGAUUUAUACACCUGGCCCAAAGCCCAUGGCCUAAAUAAUCCCCUCAGGUCUCAUACCCACCCUGGUAAGUUGGGAAAGUACAGAGACAAUUCAAAGACCCACUUUCAGGCCAGGUCCAGCCUGAAACAGUGAACAAAAGGUUUCCACACAUGAAAAGCCAGGGUAAAUGGCUGUCCAAUCAUUUGCAGUAGCAGAAGCAAGUGAGGGGUCCCCAGGAGAUCAACACGGUGGGGGUACUACAUAAGUCUUCCUGUCCUAGAUCUUAAGGUAAAAUAUCUUGACUGGCUCCUAUAUCUAGUCUGGAUCAUUUUAUGGAAGAAUAAUCUCUGGAAAAUGACAAGAACAGGAUUUUAAUAUUAGUCAGAGCCCAAGGAGGAGAUCUUAAUUUCAAUCGGAAUCCAUAGAGAACCCUGGUAUAGAUGAAGUGUUUUUGCGGGGAAGUGGGCCUAAAAUCAGGCCAAGAACCUGUUGGGCCAGGGCCUUUUUGAAGGAGGGGGGAAGAAUGUCCCUGACUUAUGAGGAGACAUGGAGAAGGCCUUUCGAUGGCUCUAUUGUUCAGAGCGCGGCCCUACAAGUACCGCACCCCUCUCCACCUCCUCCCCCUCCGCAAGGACCCAAGGGCCCAGCGAGCUGGAAACUGGGUCGGUUGAGCUGAGCUCGAGGCAGUGGCAGAGCCAAGACCGACCUCCCUCACCCUCGUCUGCUACCCCCUGGUGCCAUCCCCGCCGCCGGCAGAAAACACAAAGGACUCCUCCCACCCGUUCUCGAACCUGAGGACGCUCUGGGGAGGGGGCUGGCGUGGACCUCGAGUCUGAGCACCUCCCUCCCCCGCGGGGAACAAUAGCCAUCGCCUCCCAGUGGCGGUGGGGCGGUCGCGCGGCACAAAAGCCGGCUCGGCCCGCGCCAUGUGACGCGCGCUCGGCCUGCUCUCCCGGCGGCGGCGGCGGCGGCGGCGGCCGCAGGCUGCUCAGCGCGCGGCGGCGGCGGCGACGGCGGGCGGGCGUUCCUGAUCCACCUGGAACACUUUCGGGAAGACAAACGCGGCUCUUCCUACUUCGGAGCAAGUCCGGGCCAGCUGGGAUUCGACCAGAAACCGCAGGCGGAGGAGACGCGGGCACGCAGGUUAAGGGCUCACGGAGGGCGCGACCCGCCGCCUCGCGCUCGGCGGGUCACCUCCUCGUCCCGGGGCCGCGCUGCCGCCCGCUGGCCCGGCCCUCAGGCCACGCAGGGCGCCCAGACGCCCCCGACGUGCGGGCCCCCACGCCGCCCGGAUCCGCAGUGAUUCUGCCUCCCCGCCCCCUGAGCACCUUCCGCUCGCCCCAGUGACACCCUUAAACGCUGCACUCCCCUCACAAAGGGACAGAUCCAUCUCUGAAAGCGCCGACAAGAAAAAUUUCAGAGGGUCGGAAGAUUCUUGCAAACACUGUUUUAUUUAAGCGUUUUAUAAAAGCUGUCCGGGGGAUGAGAAUUCAGGGGAGAGGCUGAACUAGUUUAGUUCUCUCAUUUACCUGCAGGAGUAUUUGUAGGGGAGGAAGCAAGAUUAGACUCCUAUUGAACUUGGAACUAAACUUGAAUGCCAUUUAAAAUAAUAAUAAAAAUAUACCUAAGACACCAACCACAGUGAUAUACCUCUUCUCUCUUCUAUGAGGGCAGGGAAGAAUUGGAGUAUUUUUACUUCAGCUUUUUGGGGUUCAUUUUAGAAACACUAUAAAGGGAUAGACAACAAGCUGGGGGGAGGCAGUCUUCAGCCUCAGAGCUUUUCAGAGUAGGAGGGCCUGGGUGAGUGGGUGGGGGAGAAUUCUUAUACCCACUCUUGAGUGGUACCUGUUGUCCACUGUAAAUUCUAGAGAGUUCUGGGCUACCCUCUCUUUUAACCUUUCUGAGUAAUAUCAACUGAGAAGUUUCUGAAGUUAAAUGUGGUGCCUCAGCCCAUGGGAAAUGGCCCCUGAAAGGCAGAAAAUCCCAACUUUUUCCCACUCCCCUCAAUCCUCUUCUCUUUCACCAUCCUCUUGGGUGGAAAUAACAUGCUCUGGAGAAAUAUUCUACUAUCAUUUUUCCUCAGAUAGAUAUAAACUGAAGCAUUAAGCCUUGCACAGUGUCCUAUACUCCUCUGGCAAUUAAAAUACUGGUCCUCUUGUCCUUGA
Long non-coding RNA from Phacochoerus africanus (Common warthog), 3433 nucleotides. RefSeq lists it as uncharacterized. The record is from RefSeq and is a predicted model, not a curated record. The transcript has 2 exons. Lineage: Eukaryota; Metazoa; Chordata; Mammalia; Artiodactyla; Suidae.